UAGGGAAUAUUGCACAAUGGGCGCAAGCCUGAUGCAGCAACGCCGCGUGCACGAUGAAGGCCUUCGGGUUGUAAAGUGCUUUUCUGGAGGACGAGAGCGGACGGUACUUCAGGAAUAAGGAUCGGCUAACUACGUGCCAGCAGCCGCGGUAACACGUAGGAUCCGAGCGUUAUCCGAAUUUACUGGGCGUAAAGCGCAAGCAGGCGGCCGGUUAAGUUGGACGUGAAAGCUCCUGGCUCAACUGGGAGAGGUCGUUCAAGACUGGCUGGCUAGAGGGCGGCAGAGGGAGGUGGAAUUCCCGGUGUAGUGGUGAAAUGCGUAGAGAUCGGGAGGAACACCAGAGGCGAAAGCGGCCUCCUGGGCCGCGCCUGACGCUGAGUUGCGAAAGCUAGGGGAGCGAACG
This 403-nucleotide ribosomal RNA is filed under the name uncultured bacterium. RNAcentral's name for it is "bacterial SSU rRNA". It matches the Rfam family "Bacterial small subunit ribosomal RNA", at positions 355 to 774 of the family's 1533-position model. The record is from RNAcentral.